UCCAGACUCCUACGGGAGGCAGCAGUGGGGAAUUUUGGACAAUGGGCGCAAGCCUGAUCCAGCAAUGCCGCGUGAGUGAAGAAGGCCUUCGGGUUGUAAAGCUCUUUUGUCAGGGAAGAAAAGGCUAUGGAUAAUACCUGUGGCUCAUGACGGUACCUGAAGAAUAAGCACCGGCUAACUACGUGCCAGCAGCCGCGGUAAUACGUAGGGUGCAAGCGUUAAUCGGAAUUACUGGGCGUAAAGCGUGCGCAGGCG
This 255-nucleotide ribosomal RNA is filed under the name Duganella margarita. RNAcentral describes it as "partial 16S ribosomal RNA". It matches the Rfam family "Bacterial small subunit ribosomal RNA", at positions 330 to 577 of the family's 1533-position model. Lineage: Bacteria; Pseudomonadati; Pseudomonadota; Betaproteobacteria; Burkholderiales; Oxalobacteraceae. The record is from RNAcentral.